Molecule: long non-coding RNA, 562 nt
Organism: Poecilia latipinna (sailfin molly)
Lineage: Eukaryota; Metazoa; Chordata; Actinopteri; Cyprinodontiformes; Poeciliidae
Exons: 2
Source: RefSeq, a predicted model, not a curated record
UGAAAAAUUUAAUUUAGAGUUUAACAAAGAAAAACCAAAAUAUAACCCUGCAAUUAAAAUACGUGUCUGCUAAAAUAUCUUCUAUAAACCUGAGUUCACCUGCAUUAACUACUAAUCCUCCCAAAGACUUUAUUAGAAGCUUAAGUGAUUGAGACACAUGGGCCAUGCCAUGUGUAAAAAGGGGGGAAAAGGGAAAAUGGUGAGGUAAUACUAUAACUACAUACUAUAUAACUACUAAAUUCUUACAUAAAAAUUUUUUUUGUUAUGAACUUUUGAGUUAACAAAUACUGUUAGAUGAUGAUUGAUGCUUUUUCUAAAUGGGUUGAAAUAGUUCCAGCAAAGCAUGCAGAUGCUUUGACAGUAGCUAAGGCUAUCUGCAAAACUAUAUCCCAACACACGGUAUUCCACAGAAUGUUUAUAGUGACAAUGGACCACAUUUUGUAAACCAAGUGAUACAAAACAUGGCUACUCACUUGGGAAUGACAUUGAAAAACCACUGUGCCUAUCACCCUCAGAGUGCAGGGCUGGUGGAAAGAACAAAUGGUACUGUGAAAAGCAGAUU